GUACACUCCUACGGGAGGCAGCAGUGGGGAAUUUUGGACAAUGGGCGAAAGCCUGAUCCAGCAAUGCCGCGUGAGUGAAGAAGGCCUUCGGGUUGUAAAGCUCUUUUGUCAGGGAAGAAACGGUGAGAGCUAAUAUCUCUUGCUAAUGACGGUACCUGAAGAAUAAGCACCGGCUAACUACGUGCCAGCAGCCGCGGUAAUACGUAGGGUGCAAGCGUUAAUCGGAAUUACUGGGCGUGAAGCGUGCGCAGGCGGUUUUGUAAGUCUGAUGUGAAAUCCCCGGGCUCAACCUGGGAAGUGCAUUGGAGACUGCAAGGCUAGAAUCUGGCAGAGGGGGGUAGAAUUCCACGUGUAGCAGUGAAAUGCGUAGAUAUGUGGAGGAACACCGAUGGCGAAGGCAGCCCCCUGGGUCAAGAUUGACGCUCAUGCACGAAAGCGUGGGGAGCAAACAGGAUUAGAUACCCGAGUAGUCCCAUGA
This 478-nucleotide ribosomal RNA is filed under the name uncultured organism. RNAcentral's name for it is "partial 16S ribosomal RNA". It matches the Rfam family "Bacterial small subunit ribosomal RNA", at positions 331 to 800 of the family's 1533-position model. The record is from RNAcentral.